RNAcentral lists this ribosomal RNA (683 nucleotides) under uncultured Alphaproteobacteria bacterium. RNAcentral's name for it is "bacterial SSU rRNA". It matches the Rfam family "Bacterial small subunit ribosomal RNA", at positions 34 to 760 of the family's 1533-position model. The record is from RNAcentral. Lineage: Bacteria; Pseudomonadati; Pseudomonadota; Alphaproteobacteria.
CGCUGGCGGCACGCCUAACACAUGCAAGUCGAACGAAGUAGCAAUACUUAGUGGCAGACGGGUGAGUAACAUGUAGGUAUCUGCCCUUUGGCCUGGAAUAACACGAGGAAACUUGUGCUAAUACCGGAUAAGUCUUUACGGAGAAAGCUUUAUGCACCAUUGGAUGAGCCUGCACUUGAUUAGUUUGUUGGUGGGGUAAUGGCCCACCAAGACUGUGAUCAAUAGCUGAUUUGAGAGGAUGAUCAGCCACAUUGGGACUGAGACACGGCCCAAACUCCUACGGGAGGCAGCAGUGGGGAAUCUUGCACAAUGGAGGAAACUCUGAUGCAGCGAUGCCGCGUGAGUGAAGAAGGCCUUUGGGUUGUAAAGCUCUUUCGUCGGGGAAGAAAAUGACUGUACCCGAAUAAGAAGGUCCGGCUAACUUCGUGCCAGCAGCCGCGGUAAUACGAAGGGACCUAGUGUAGUUCGGAAUUACUGGGCUUAAAGAGUUCGUAGGUGGUUGAAAAAGUUAGUGGUGAAAUCCCAGAGCUUAACUCUGGAACUGCCAUUAAAACUUUUCAGCUAGAGUAUGAUAGAGGAAAGCAGAAUUUCUAAGUGUAGAGGUGAAAUUCGUAGAUAUUCGGAGGAACCCCAGUGGCGAAGGCGGCUUACUGGCUCGAUACUGGACGCUGAGGUGCGAAAGG